RNAcentral lists this ribosomal RNA (537 nucleotides) under Klebsiella sp. Arv-22-1.1. RNAcentral's name for it is "bacterial SSU rRNA". It matches the Rfam family "Bacterial small subunit ribosomal RNA", at positions 56 to 584 of the family's 1533-position model. The record is from RNAcentral. Lineage: Bacteria; Pseudomonadati; Pseudomonadota; Gammaproteobacteria; Enterobacterales; Enterobacteriaceae.
UGCAAGUCGAGCGGUAGCACAGAGAGCUUGCUCUCGGGUGACGAGCGGCGGACGGGUGAGUAAUGUCUGGGAAACUGCCUGAUGGAGGGGGAUAACUACUGGAAACGGUAGCUAAUACCGCAUAACGUCGCAAGACCAAAGUGGGGGACCUUCGGGCCUCAUGCCAUCAGAUGUGCCCAGAUGGGAUUAGCUGGUAGGUGGGGUAACGGCUCACCUAGGCGACGAUCCCUAGCUGGUCUGAGAGGAUGACCAGCCACACUGGAACUGAGACACGGUCCAGACUCCUACGGGAGGCAGCAGUGGGGAAUAUUGCACAAUGGGCGCAAGCCUGAUGCAGCCAUGCCGCGUGUGUGAAGAAGGCCUUCGGGUUGUAAAGCACUUUCAGCGGGGAGGAAGGCGGUGAGGUUAAUAACCUCAUCGAUUGACGUUACCCGCAGAAGAAGCACCGGCUAACUCCGUGCCAGCAGCCGCGGUAAUACGGAGGGUGCAAGCGUUAAUCGGAAUUACUGGGCGUAAAGCGCACGCAGGCGGUCUGUC